UGGAGGGGUACUGAACCGCCAAGGCCAGU
RNAcentral lists this non-coding RNA (29 nucleotides) under Rattus norvegicus (Norway rat). Lineage: Eukaryota; Metazoa; Chordata; Mammalia; Rodentia; Muridae. The record is from RNAcentral.